RNAcentral lists this ribosomal RNA (467 nucleotides) under uncultured bacterium. RNAcentral's name for it is "partial 16S ribosomal RNA". It matches the Rfam family "Bacterial small subunit ribosomal RNA", at positions 29 to 507 of the family's 1533-position model. The record is from RNAcentral.
ACGAACGCUGGCGGCGUGCUUAACACAUGCAAGUCGAACGGAAAGGCCCUGCUUUUGUGGGGUGCGCGAGUGGCGAACGGGUGAGUAACACGUGAGUAACCUGCCCUUGACUUUGGGAUAACUUCAGGAAACUGGGGCUAAUACCGGAUAGGAGCUCCUGCUGCAUGGUGGGGGUUGGAAAGUUUCGGCGGUUGGGGAUGGACUCGCGGCUUAUCAGCUUGUUGGUGGGGUAGUGGCUUACCAAGGCUUUGACGGGUAGCCGGCCUGAGAGGGUGACCGGCCACAUUGGGACUGCGAUACGGCCCAGACUCCAACGGGAGGCAGCAGUGGGGAAUAUUGCACAAUGGGCGGAAGCCUGAUGCAGCAACGCCGCGUGCGGGAUGACGGCCUUCGGGUUGUAAACCGCUUUCGCCUGUGACGAAGCGUGAGUGACGGUAAUGGGUAAAGAAGCACCGGCUAACUACGUG